ACAGUGGUGAUUCAGUGGUAGAAUUCUUGCCUUCUAUGUGGAAGACCUGAGUUCAAUCCCAGUCAAUGUA
Molecule: transfer RNA, 70 nt
Filed under: Loxodonta africana (African savanna elephant)
Lineage: Eukaryota; Metazoa; Chordata; Mammalia; Proboscidea; Elephantidae
Rfam family: tRNA
About the family: Transfer RNA (tRNA) molecules are approximately 80 nucleotides in length. Their secondary structure includes four short double-helical elements and three loops (D, anti-codon, and T loops). Further hydrogen bonds mediate the characteristic L-shaped molecular structure. tRNAs have two regions of fundamental functional importance: the anti-codon, which is responsible for specific mRNA codon recognition, and the 3' end, to which the tRNAs corresponding amino acid is attached (by aminoacyl-tRNA synthetases). tRNAs cope with the degeneracy of the genetic code in two manners: having more than one tRNA (with a specific anti-codon) for a particular amino acid; and 'wobble' base-pairing, i.e. permitting non-standard base-pairing at the 3rd anti-codon position.
Source: Rfam by way of RNAcentral